This 627-nucleotide ribosomal RNA is filed under the name Triticum aestivum (bread wheat). Its description in RNAcentral is "partial small subunit ribosomal RNA". Lineage: Eukaryota; Viridiplantae; Streptophyta; Magnoliopsida; Poales; Poaceae. The record is from RNAcentral.
AUGUUCCCUACAGUUGUUAAAGUGCUAGAAUAUGUGGAAGAAGAAGACAGGGAUGACACAAAUAGAAGGCAGGCAUGUGGUCUUCUUGUUUAUUUCCAGUCUUUUGAUUUUGUGUUGUACUUACAACUUGUGUCAACUAUAUUGAUAAUCACAAACACAUUAUCAUUUGCCCUACAACGCAAGAAUCAGGACAUUGUGAAUGCCAUAAAUUGUGUGAAUUCAACCAAAGCCUCCUUGAAUGAUCUAAGGGGAAAUGGAUGGGAAUCUGUCCUACAAGAAGCAUAUGUCUUUUGUGACAAGCAUGACAUUUCCAAGUUGGAAACGGAAGACCAAUAUGUGAAUCCAAAGAAGCCACGGCAAAAAACAGGUAUCACUAAUAGGCAUCAUUAUGAAGUGGAUUGUUUUAAUGAUGUUAUUGAUUGGAUGCUUCAAGAACUUGAUAAUCGCUUCAAUGAGAAAAAUUCGGAACUACUUGUUUGCUCAGCGGCUUUGAGCCCAAAUGAAUCAUUUCGUGAUUUCAACUUAGAGCAUUUGAUGAGUCUAGCUAAACUUUAUCCAAAAGAUUUCGAUGAUGGAGAACUGAGGGACCUUAAACAUCACCUUCUUCUUUACAUUGCUGAUGUCUGA